RNAcentral lists this long non-coding RNA (9044 nucleotides) under Sus scrofa (pig). Its description in RNAcentral is "lncRNA (ENSSSCG00000057303.1)". The record is from RNAcentral. Lineage: Eukaryota; Metazoa; Chordata; Mammalia; Artiodactyla; Suidae.
ACUUAAUCGUGCUGCACUUUGGGUUCCUCACCUAUGAAAUAGGGUUAAUAGAACCUGCUUCCUGGGGUUAUUGUAUUAAAUAAGAGAACACAUAUAAAUUAUCUAUCAUGCUACUUGGAAUACAACAGGUACUCAAAAAUAAUAGCUUUAUUACUUUCAUUGUGGUGAUUUCCCAUCACAUUAACUCUAGCAUAAAACAGUUAAGCUGAUUUGCAUGUACUACUUAGAUAUGCAGUUCACUUUGGUUAUUUAAACCCAUUUUUAUUCCAUAUUCAGUUUGAAGUAUAGCUCAUGUCAUGAAUAUUACUUUCAGUCUUUAUAUGAGAAACACUCAGAAAAUUAUUGCUAGCAAUGUAUAAUAAUUAUAGUAUUUUUGACUUCAUGUUUUAAAAAAUAACCAGUCGAGGUUAUAAAUACCCAAGUGUAAUAUUUCCCUUUCUACUGAAGGGAAAAUAUUUUUUAUUUAUUGCACUUCUACCUCUGAAAAUAAAAGCCACAGUGUAAACAUACCAGCAAGACUGUCUUGAGUUUAAAAAUCAGAGAAAAUAAAUUUGACUUCAGGGAAAGAUAAUGAAUGCACACCUCAAACCCCUAUUUGAGAAGAGGUAUGUCCUCGGGGUAAAGGUGCUGAAAAGUAGCUAGCCGAAAUAGGAUGCUGUCUCAGAUUCAGGUCAAAACCAAUGUAGUAUCACCGUCACCAUCACCAUCACCAUCAUUGUCGUUAAGCUUGCCGGGUUUAAUGUAUCAUAAUUUGGCUUUGCUUUCCAUAGAAAUGAGGUCUCAACCUGCAAAAAUAUAGAGUCUUCAAAUCACAAGUGGACUUUCUGGCUCAGAGAAGAGCUGCUGAUAGUUGAAAGGUGUGUUGAUAUCUGUAAGAAGCUGUAUCCAUUUCCCAUAGGACGCAUAGUUCUGCUUCUAGAAAAAGGAUAAGUACCUCUUCACCUAUGCCGUUUCCAUCCUUUCUCCCCACCUGGUCUCUGAUCCUGGGGUCAUUCCUCCCUCUAUGCUUGUCAUUGACUGCCUUUCCUCCUCUAUGUUGACAUUGACUCCCAUGAACUGCCCUAUUGGUGGUCGUAGUUAAUCUUCAUUUUGUUUAGUUGUGCUCUUCCACCCUGCAUUUUUGUGUACUUCUUGGGCUACUGGAUUCUUUGGUUCUGUCCUUGGAAGUCACUGCAGUCACAUUCUGAGCCAUUCUGAUCUGACUGGGCUUUUAAGUCCCCCGCCACCUAUAAAGAACUUCUUCACAUGAAUUGAUGGUCUAUUUUGAGCCUCAUCACAGUCUAGUGUGUCCACACUAUUCAUGAAACCUAGAACAAAGAAGAAUUCAUUACUUUUUUUUCCUCUUCUGAAUUACACCUCUGGCUCAGGAACCUGCUUAAUGAGCCAGAUGAUGCCUCAGGUGGGUAUGUGUGUAUCAGUGUAAGAUCCAUCUCUCUACCUGUGGUGGAAAGAAAAUUCUGUCAAUUUAAAUGCUAGUUGCUUUAGGCAAUUGUGUUCAGUCUACAGUUUGAGAUCCGUUGUGGGUCAUGAAAUCAACAUAACAUGUUGCAGGCAAGUAGAAGUUUUUCAUUAAACAAUGAAGUAGAAUGAAAAAAGAAAAUAUCAGAGGGCAUUUCAGUGAGGAUAAAAUGUCUCUACAUCUCUUUCUUCCUACCAUCUAUCAUGUUCAUAUGUGUGUAUAUAUACUGCAUUGCCAUGUAAGUGAAUUUCUUAUUGAGGUUCUCAACCAAGAAAGUUUGAAUUAGAAGAAUUCAAAUUCGAAUUCUAGUAGAAUAUGAGCAGAAUUUCCACCCAGGAAGAAUAUUUUUCUUUUGUUUUGAAAACUUGAAUAUCUUCUUGGGAUGGCUUUAUGGAAAUUGUGAUUCCUCUGUGCUCCCCUCCCCCCAGCUCCGUUCCAACUCUUACACAGUCUGCUCAAGGUAAGGCAUUUAAGAGGGAAAAGUGAUAUGUAUAAGAGAGUUACAGCCACCUCUGCCACUAUCCCAACCCUUUUCUGUGGUUAAGAGGGCCCAGAAUUUGGGGUCCCUGCAAAUAAUCAAAAGGAGAAUAUGAGAGACAUUGCUGGAGGCUGAGGUAUAGGGGUACAGAGGACAGAAGUACAGAUGAAAGGAAGCCAGACAAACACAUAAAGAAAGCUGAUAUCAUGGAGGUGGAGAAGAAAGGAACAUCCAGGUAAAAAUUCCUUGAGGGGUGUUGGGGAGGGAGGAGAGCAACAGUGGGAGGAUAUGAGAGGGAGGCUAAGAAACUUUUGCUCGUAGUUGUACAUCAGUCAGUUUCAGGUUACGUGUUCUGUGCUGCUCCAUUACGUUCAAAUCCUCACACAAACACUUAUGGCCUUGUGUUUGUGGUAUUCUUCAUAAAGAAGGCAAAAGAUGGUCCCAGAACUUCUAAGGUAGAACUAAGAGAACCAGUUAGAAUUUGGAGCCCAUCUAUGAGGCAGCAUGGCCCCAGGUGUGGAAGCUCGAUAGGCCUCUUUCCCUCAAACACACCAAGAGGAGAUGACCCUUGAAAAGGCAGGAAGGAUAAGUACUGAUGUUUUGUGGUGUAGAUGUUCUCUAGCCCAAGACCAACAGGAACACAGGCACAGAGCAACAAGUGGAGUCUAUUGCUGGUAGAACUGUGCAGUGUCUCGGGGAGAGGAUAUUUGGAAGGACUUACAGGAUUUGGGCUUGUGUUGGUGAUGUGGGGGAGGGCAUAAGGAAAUGAGGCUUUGCUCUGAUUGGAUACUGUCAGAAAUAGAGGUAAUUCUCUGAUAAGGUAUCUUAACUACACAGGAGGAGAGGCUCAAGCUGUGACUGGUAAAGAAGCAACAGUCACCCUUGUUACCCGCCAUGGGGGGAAUAUUUUGGUAUCUUGUGGGUUAGAGUUUUCAUGUUUUAUCUGUGUUCCCAAUGUGGAUUGUCCUGUUUUCAUCUCUACCCAUCGUGGCCAGAGUGGCUUUGUCCGAUAUUGAUGUUCCAUAAAAUUGUUUACAUUCGACGGAAGAACACCCACCUGGGUGUGCCAGGUUGCUUCCCACAUGUUAGGGCUGUUUUUUUCUUCCUCAAGAGUAUAGCUGUUUGAACCGUUUUACUUAAAUAUUAAGAUAGGCUUUAAGAUUGGGGAUGUCAGGGUGACAAACACAUAUGUGUAUGCUUACAUAUGUAAUGUGUUUUAUAUAUACAUAAAAGUUACUUAGGGAGUUGGUAAAUGUAUGUUGACGUACACUUUAAGUACUAAGCACCCUCCUGGAAAGGAAGGGAAAUUCACAUCCUUCUCAUUAAAUAAAGGAAAUUCCACAAGCUCUCUUCUGAAUCUCAUUUACUGUCCUCAAACUUUCAAAUUAACAAAUUAGAACGCUGGUCCUGACUUAAAAAUUUUUUAGUAUAAUUUGAGCAGCAAGGUCAGAUACCUUUAAUGAUGGCUAGCAUUGAUUACCUCCAUACAUUAUGAUGAGAUCACGUGGAUAUGGAGUUGCAGCGUUUUUUGCUAAAAGCCAGAAGCCCUGUGGAUGACCUGAAGCAGGCAGCUUCCUUGAAGCAGUGAGUGGGGCUGCGGAAUGGUGCUGGCAACACAACAUGUCUGUGCAGCUAAUUUCAUCUAAGCUCCAUUUGAAAGACAGCUGCCUGGGCUGCAAAGGAAAACAGCACUAUAAUGAAUCACUGCACAGCAGAGUGGGUUAAUACCAUAAUAUCACUGAGAAAUCAUUUAUAAUGAUGGUGAAUUAUACAACGCAAUAGUAUGCUGACUUGAAUUCCAGUGCCAUAUGGCUUUAGGUUUGCUUUUAUGCUUUCAUGGGGCAGGAUGGGAUGGCUUAAGGCUUUUUGCAUAGGGAAGAUCAUAAAAACACAAUGUUAUUUUAUUAGGAGAGCUGAAAUCCCAGUAAACUAUAGGCCUAAGAUAGAAAAUGAAGAUGGAGGGGGGAAUAUAGCAAAUGCAGAAUGACUUUUAUUAUUUUGUAGUCAGUGAGAGCUGUGGGAUAUUUAUGGCUUCUUUUCAUGAUUCCUGAAACAGUAGGUGACUUCAGAAUACCCAGCCUCUCCUGUGGGCUGUGGCAUUCAGUGCAAGCCUGUCUCUGGGUAUUUGGUUGAGAGGUGGGCAUGGAAAGCAUAUGUCUGAGUCAAAAACCUUGCUGGGGCAGCGCUGAAUUGAGUGGUGAUCAUUCUAGUAAUAAAUAAAAAUUUUGAAAUACUUAUAACUUGUCAGGGACUAUGCUAAAGAUUUUCAUAGGUAAUCUGAAUUAAUUCUCAAAACAAACCUUUAAGGUAGAUACUAAUAAUGCUCCCAUUUUAUAAGAUGGGUAUACUGAGGCUUUGAGAAGUUAAAUCAUUUGUACAAAGUCACACAGCUAAUAAAUACAAAACUUACACUGAUGUAAACAGAAGAGGAAAUGAAAAUAUACAGUGUUCGGAAUACUAAAAAGUGUUUUAGAAGGAGGAACAUCUGUUUGUAUUUCUUGGUCUGAUUAAGGCAGCAAGCAAUCAUUGAGCAGCCACCCUGCAGGGUGCUGGGGCAGGUGCUAGAUCCCCACUGUCCCGUAAAUAAGCCACCUAUGCGAGCAAGAGUGUGAGGAGGCUUGAGGAAAAGCAGGGGAAGCCGGGGACGUGGAAGGACUUGGGGCUCAGGGCAGUAGAGAUGGUUACCAGGAAAGUGACGAGUUCUAGUCAAGAUAGCUGCAGGCCACGUUCCACUUCUUUUGGGUAUACCUCAUGAUUUAAAAUGUUGUCUACACAUUCCUGCAAAGAAGGUUAUGGUCCCCCCACCAUUUUUCAAAAAAGAACUUGGAGGUUGAGAGGUAGCACUCAACUUGCUCCAAGGACAUGGGAUAAAAAGCUAUACCUUCUAAGUGCCAAAGUCAUUUCAGAUCACAGCAGGUGCAGGUCAGCAGGCACUGCACUGAGAUAAAAGACUUCACCAGUUGCCCUUCUCUGUACUCUCUUCCCCAUUCUAGACAAAUGCUCAUCCUUGAGUCUACUGUGAACCCUGGGUCAGCCAGGUGCUGAGAUUGAUGCUCCCACAUCCUGCAAUCAGUGGGACUGCAAAACCAGUCAUGCCUCACCUGGUGCCUGGCUGGUGACUCUGUCUAAAUUCUUGGCCUUUCCAAUGGGGACCUGCUUUAUGGCACAGGGAAUACUACUCAGUAUUCUGUGAUAAUCCUUGUGGGAAAAGAAUCUGACAAAGAAUGGAUGUGUGUACAUGUGUAACUGAAUCACUUGUACAACAGGAAUUAUCACAAUCUUGGAAACCAGCUAUAGUUCUGUAAAACUUUAAAAAAUGAAAAGAAAAAUUCUUAGCCUCUGUCUCAACUCUUUGUCUGCCUUACUGAGUUCUGGCCUGUGCUAUCCUCUGACCUGGGACAUCUCUGCAUCCUUUAAGUCCUGCCUGCUUCCUGUUCUCCAUCCUAGGUGCUGUGCCCAUCUAGAACUUGCUCCAGGUCCCAGGCCCUAUGCUUUGUUAUCUCUUAGCUCUCUAGGUCUAAAUCAUUCUGUUACCGUAAUUUUGGGGGUAGUUGAUAAUAUAAAAAUGCAAAUUUUUAUUUUUCAAAUGUGAAGGUAUAUUAAAAUGUUGAGUCUUCUUUGAAAAGUACAUAUAUUUCCCUAGAACUAGACCUGAGACACCACUGAUACUUGUUUUAUGCCUCCAAUAUGCCUCUCUCAGAUUUUACAUUGGAGUCAGGAAAAUCCUCUAACAUGGUGGUAUUGAAGCCUGGCUUCCCAUUAGAACCCUUGGGAAACUUGAGAGAAUGUUUGGGUCUUACUCCAGGACUCUGAUUUAGUUGCUCUAAAUGAUGGGUUCAGGACUUCUUAGGUAAUUGGUAAUGUGUAAGCAGGAUUAGGAUCUAUUGAAUUAGCACCAUCAGCAUUUUUAAUGCUAGGUGAAGAAUUCAGAUUUGCCUUAAAAGGUAGGAUUGGCAGAUUUAGCAAAGAGAAAUAUAAGAUGCCAAGUUGAAUUUGAAUUUCAGAUAAAUGACAAGUAAUUUUUUAGUAUAAUUAUAUCACAUGCAAUAGUUGGGACAUAUAUUUACUAAAAACUAUUUGUUGUUUCACUGGGCAUUUUGACAAUCCUAUUUUUAGGGAGAAUCCCCAUAAUUUGGAGAAAGUAUUUUCCUUUAACUGGUUUGAUUGAUAUUCAAACACUUACUGUUCUUUGUGCUCAUAUUCUGCUGAAAAGUUACGUGAAAUCAAGUUUUUAUGCUCACAUCCUCCCAGAAAUUUCUUUAGGAGAAAUCCUUACAUAUCCAAACAAGCAAAGUUUCAGCUAGCAAUAGAUUUCUCACUGUCUAGCCCCCUCUUACUUUUGCAUACUCUGGUUGGUGGCUUAUCCACCCAACUUUAUAAUCAUACUAUUAUGCUAAUUUCUUUUUUGAAAUACACGAGCUUCUAAAUUAAUUUUCCUCACUUGGAACAAGAAAGUAUUCCAAAGAGCUCUUUUUGGAAGAACUAUAGGAGACCUAGGAACAAAGUUUUGCAGCUGAAGAAGGAGAACGUGUGAUGGGAUGUGGAGAAAGUAUGUUCUCUCUUAGCUUUGUCAAAUGGGAGCAAAGUGAUUGUGAAUCAAGAUUUCAUCAAUAAUGCAUUAUUAUUUUGAAGACAUUAGAGGUAACUAAGUGUUUACAAGCUUUAUGACAGUUCUGACAUUUUAAUGGGCCCUUACAUGAAGUGAAUUAUUAAAAAGCAUACUUUGGAUGAGGUCAUGGACUCUAAGUUUAGAAAUCAAUAGAAAUAGACUGUGCAUGCCAAUAUGGCUACAGCUAUGCCAGUAAUUUGUGUGGUCAGGUUAUUAUAUUAUAAUGGAACAAUGAGAAUCUGCCUUCUUCCCCUUACUGCUCACUCCCUCCAACAUUCAUCAGAUACAGAAGGGAUCCAAUACUGAAAGCCUCAUCUUUUUCAGUUCCCGUAUGGAAAAUACACCUAUAUAUUGAUCUUCCAUUAAGUCAUUGUGCUGAAAAUUACAAAAAUAAAAAUAAUAAGAAGAUAGAGAUGGUAUCAUUUGCCUCUUCCUGUUUUUCUCUUAAGGAUCUUAUUUACUUAUUUUGGCCUGACUGCAAACAUUUGGAUGGCUCCAAACAUCAAGAGUGUUACUAGUAUUGUAAAACUUAAAAAAGAAGCCUUUUCUUCAAAUGAAAUAUUUUGUGCAAGACCAAUAUGUAAGUAAUACAGAUCAAAUUAGAGCUUUUCAUUUGAAGAGGAGGAAAGAACUGAGCUGUACUUGUUCAGUUCCUCAUAUCCUGAACUUAGGUAUUUCUACAGAACUCUUAGGGUUCUGUGGAACUCAGAGAAUCUAUGAAAACCACUUAUUUAGGCCAUCUGAUUUAUUUUAACUUUUUAUUUUAGCUUCAAGGUUGUUUGGAUGUUUGCAACCAUUGAGAUUAUUAACCACUGUUAACAGGGCCAGCCCGUGUUCAUCUGUGGUGGGAUCUGUAGAAUAUGACCCCUAGGGCUCUUACUAUCAAAAUCUUGUCGAGUUCUCAGUUUUCAAACUUUGUUGGAGAUAAAGAGGUGUUGAGAGAUUUGCAUUUAAUGGCAGUAGCAAAUGCCACUUGUCAUUCAUGGCAACUCAUCCUCCUGAAUUCAGGCUGUAAAGUGCUUAGGAUUUUGUACCUGUUAUUGAGAAAGAAGGUAAAGAGCCCUGAGCACAAAGGCAUUUGGACAUGGGAGAGAAACAGUUAUGCAAACUCUUGGGGCAGUGAAAACUGAGGCUAAAAGGGGACCUCCUGCUAAGAGUGAGUUUCACAGAAUACCGUCCCCUAAAUGGGCACUGGCUUUUGACUAGGUCCACAAUUCAGGCGUCAGGUUUUUAAACCCAAGGGAAAUUUCUUUUUUUUUUUUUUAUUUUCCCACUGUACAGCAAGGGGGUCAGGUCAUCCUUACAUGUAUACAUUGCAGUUACAGUUUUUCCCCCAUCCUUUCUUCUGUUGCAAUAUGAGUAUCUAGACAUUGUUCUCAGUGCUAUUCAGCAGGAUCUCCUUGUAAAUCUAUUCUAGGUUGUGUCUGAUAAGCCCAAGCUCCCGAUCCCUCCCACUCCCUCCCCCUCCCAUCAGGCAACCAACCACAAGUCUCUUCUCCAAGUCUAUGAUUUUCUUUUCUGAGGAGAUGUUCAUUUGUGCUGGAUAUUAGAUUCCAGUUAUAAGUGAUAUCAUAUGGUAUUUGCCUUUGUCUUUCUGGCUCAUUUCACUCAGUAUGAGAUUCUCUAGUUCCAUCCAUGUUGCUGCAAAUGGCAUUAUGUCAUCCUUUUUUAUGGCUGAGUAGUGCUCCAUUGUGUAUAUAUACCACAUCUUCUGAAUCCAAUCAUCUGUCGAUGGACAUUUGGAUUGUUUCCAUGUCCUGGCUAUUGUGAAUAGUGCUGCAAUGAACAUGCGGGUGCACGUGUCUCUUUUAAGUAGAGUUUUGUCCGGAUAGAUGCCCAAGAAUGGGAUUGCGGGGUCAUAUGGAAGUUCUAUGUAUAGAUUUCUAAGGUAUCUCCAAACUGUUCUCCAUAGUGGCUGUACCAGUUGACAUUCCCACCAACAGUGCAGGAGGGUUCCCUUUUCUCCACAGCCCCUCCAGCACCAAGUGAAAUUUCUAAAUGUGGCUUAAAAGUAGGAAUAUAUAUAUUCUCUCACAGAAUACGUUUUUAGGUAGGACCAUUCUGGAGUUGACUAAUUCUGAGGUUCAACAUCAUCUAGGACCCAAAUCUUACCAUUUGUCUGCUCCACCAUCUCUAGUAUUAGUUCUCUGAUCUGUUUCCUCUCAUAAUUGCAAGGUGCCCAACAUGGUCUAGGCAUCACAUGCAAGUGGCCAUUUUGAUGGAAAAGCCUCUUUUUGUCAGUGAGAAAAACUACCUCCCAGACCCCCCCCAAGACUUCCCCCUCACAUGUCAUUGGCCAACACAGUGAGACAAACCCAAGCUUAAAACAAUCACAGGAAAAGGAAGCCAUUGGCUUGGGUCAAUCGUGACUCACCACCAGUGCCCCAGAAGCAUUGUUUCUUCUCAGUAUCAAGAGAAAAGGGGAGAAAUUUCAAUCAACAGCAUCUACCACAGUCCCAGGUUUGUCACUCUUUGCCAUUUGAGGUGGGGCUGAGGGG